This 490-nucleotide ribosomal RNA is filed under the name uncultured bacterium. Its description in RNAcentral is "partial 16S ribosomal RNA". It matches the Rfam family "Bacterial small subunit ribosomal RNA", at positions 899 to 1397 of the family's 1533-position model. The record is from RNAcentral.
ACUCAAAUGAAUUGACGGGGACCUGCACAACCAGUGGAUUAUGUGGUUUAAUUCGAGACAAACCGAAAGACCUUACCCGGGUUUGAAAUGCUACUGUUUACGUCACCAGAAACGGAGAUGGAUCUAUUUAUUUAGAAGGUAGCACAGGUGUUGCAUGGCUGUCGUCAGCUCGUGCCGUGGGGUGUUCCCUUCAGUGGGGUAACGAGCGCAACCCUUGUCAUAAGUUGAAUAUUCUUAUGAGACUACUCGCCUUUGGCGAGAGGAAGUGGGGACGACGUCAAGUCAGCAUGGCCCUUAUAUCCGGGGCGACACACAUAAUACAAUGGAGCCGACAAUGGGUUGCCAAGCAGUAAUGCGGAGCUAAUCCCACAAACGGCUUCUCAGUGGGGAUUGAGGGCUGCAACUCGCCCUCAUGAACGCGGAAUUGGUAGUAAUCGCAAAUCAGCAAGUUGCGGUGAAUACGUUCUCGGGUCUUGUACACACCGCCCGU